AAAAAGCCUCCAAACACCACAAAGACCAGACCUUUUCACUAUAACCACAAAAAAGAGAGGUAAAAAACAAACCCCAGAUAGCAUUUCAACCACAUUACAGUGUUAAACAAAAUACCACAUGCUAUACUUCAAGAAAACACCAAA
This is a long non-coding RNA of Solanum stenotomum, 144 nucleotides long. RefSeq lists it as uncharacterized. The transcript has 2 exons. The record is from RefSeq and is a predicted model, not a curated record. NCBI's taxonomy places the organism in Eukaryota, Viridiplantae, Streptophyta, Magnoliopsida, Solanales, Solanaceae.